AAUAAGUGUAAGUUUUGCACUAUUUAUAUCCAACGUUUGACCGUUCAUCUUAUUUAAAUUUUUUUUUAUUAGUAUUUUUAUGGUUAUUAGAUGAUAAAACAUGAAUAAUACUUUAUGUGUGACUAACUUUUUUAUAUUUUUUAAAUAAGACGGACGGUCAAACAUUGGACACAGAUAUCCACGACUGCACUUAUU
This 195-nucleotide microRNA precursor is filed under the name Oryza rufipogon (brownbeard rice). RNAcentral's name for it is "MIR812 microRNA precursor family". It matches the Rfam family "MIR812 microRNA precursor family". Lineage: Eukaryota; Viridiplantae; Streptophyta; Magnoliopsida; Poales; Poaceae. The record is from Rfam by way of RNAcentral.